UACGUAGGGUGCGAGCGUUGUCCGGAAUUACUGGGCGUAAAGCGUGCGCAGGCGGCUUUGCAAGACAGAUGUGAAAUCCCCGGGCUUAACCUGGGAACUGCAUUUGUGACUGCAUGGCUAGAGUGCGGCAGAGGGGGAUGGAAUUCCGCGUGUAGCAGUGAAAUGCGUAGAUAUGCGGAGGAACACCGAUGGCGAAGGCAAUCCCCUGGGCCUGCACUGACGCUCAUGCACGAAAGCGUGGGGAGCAAACAGG
RNAcentral lists this ribosomal RNA (253 nucleotides) under uncultured bacterium. Its description in RNAcentral is "partial 16S ribosomal RNA". It matches the Rfam family "Bacterial small subunit ribosomal RNA", at positions 524 to 776 of the family's 1533-position model. The record is from RNAcentral.